UACGUAGGGGGCUAGCGGUGUUCGGAUUUACUGGGCGUAAAGCGCGUGCAGGCGGACUGUUAAGAAGGGGGUGAAAUCCCGAGGCUCAACCUCGGAACUGCCUUCAAAACUGGCGGUCUAGAGUGAAGGAGAGGCGGGUGGAAUUCCGAGUGGAGCGGUGAAAUUCGUAGAUAUUCGGAGGAACACCGGUGGCGAAGGCGGCUCGCUGGCCUGAUACUGACGCUGAGACGCGAAAGCGUGGGGAGCAAACAGG
Molecule: ribosomal RNA, 253 nt
Filed under: uncultured bacterium
Lineage: Bacteria
Description: partial 16S ribosomal RNA
Rfam family: Bacterial small subunit ribosomal RNA
Source: RNAcentral